CCCAUGUCUGCCCCCCCCCCAAGCCACGUGUCAACUCAUGCCCCAACCCAAGCCCCACCAUACCCCACCGUCUUAGCUGCAUCACCUUGCAGUACACCUGUGCUUGCCAACCUACUUGAAUAUGUUGCAGCAUCCAAGGAUUCGUUAAUAGGCGGCAGCUUACUAUUGACUGGCUAUGUUGCUCCUCUGCUCUGCUUCUUUUGUUGGAGCGUUGGAGUUUAUAUUAGCUAAAAAGGGUGCGUUAGGGACGGUAUGGAUCGCGACGCAUCUGGAUAGCUGCAUAAUUGGUGGCCAUUCAAUGCUAGAAGAUGCUAACAUUAAGGAUAUGAAGGAUGUGGAAUGUUUAAUCCGUCCCCCAGUCAAAGAUAACAACAGUCCACCAACCCAGAAAUCAAAUUGAUGUGCUGUCUGUUGAGACUAAAGCUCUUCUUUACCCGCUCAAUGGUUUGCCCAAGAUGAAGAGUUAGUUUCGUCUGCAAAUGUUGAUUAUUAAAGGGCAUAGUAUUAAUGUCGUGGAUGAUUUAUUGGUUGCAGAUCAUUCGAUUCUAAACGAGCGUAUCAAGAAGCGUAACACCGCUUUUCAUAUAACCGAUAGGAAAUGCCGAUAAGAGGCUGAUAAAGUAAAAGGGGAAAGCUAAUCAUCUCUAAAGUGCAAUUCAUAUGUAGUAAGACAAGAUGCGCAACACUAGAGUCGGAAUAGGGAGCGGCAUAAGAGACUAUAUUAGCUGGUGGCCAUACAACUAGCUACAAACGGUUGUUGAAAGUGCAACUACAUUGAAGGUGCAUCUGCAAAUUGGGCAAUUGCGUUUGGAAUUGUACUCUCAUCAUAAAAUAAUUCACUAAUUGGUUCAUAAUCUUAGUUGGAAUAUACUUUUUUUACAUUUAUAAGUAACUUUUCUAUUUAUAUGAAUAACACAUGAUGUGUUGGUCU
Long non-coding RNA from Helianthus annuus (common sunflower), 931 nucleotides. RefSeq lists it as uncharacterized. NCBI's taxonomy places the organism in Eukaryota, Viridiplantae, Streptophyta, Magnoliopsida, Asterales, Asteraceae. The record is from RefSeq and is a predicted model, not a curated record. The transcript has 6 exons.